This is a long non-coding RNA of Cyprinus carpio (common carp), 1294 nucleotides long. The record is from Ensembl. Lineage: Eukaryota; Metazoa; Chordata; Actinopteri; Cypriniformes; Cyprinidae.
GUAGAGUUUCUAACUAGAGUUUCCAAACUGGGGUAAGUAAGUUGAUGAAAGGCUAAAAAUUAAAUAAUUCACAAAAAUGUAAAAUUAAAAUAAAUCAAAUAAAAAAAGCUAAAAAUAAAAUAAAACUAACACAAUAAAAUAAAUAAAACAAAAAUCACAUUUUAAAACACAUUUACUUAAAAAAGAUCAUUUGAAUAAUUGAAACAUUACCUUAAAACACCAGGGGGUACUUCAGGUCAAAUGGGUUUGGCAGAGGUUGCUGAAAAUGUCCUGAGAAAAACCCAAAGAGAGUUCGAGUUAGUGGACAGGCCUCAUCAGGGACCUCAUAUCAACAUUUGUGCAUAAUUUACAAUGCAUGGAUGCUGACAGAUGUAUUUUUGGCAGGAGAAACAGCCGUUAAAUUGGAACAAAGUAUGCAUUUUCUUGGCUAGACUUAUAGGAGCUUCGAAUCGGUGAUUAAAAGCAUUUUCCAAGGGUUUUGCACUUCACACUGUGACUCACAUCCCUUCGGUUUCCAAGAACUUGUAACCUCCGUGCUCUAAUUGAAUUUUUCUGCCGGGUCACAUGACUCUCUCUCUCUAUGGCAGUCAUUGGGUGCAUGUCAAAAUGUUCAGGCUAAAGCGUAAUUCGCGGCUCGCCGUGACCUGUGACAUCUCCUCGUGACCUCUUCUGCCAGUCAGGCUGAUCUGAGACAGAGUCGGGAUAAUGAGCUUUGUUCCUCACUCAACCGCAGCUUUAAUAAGCCUAUUGAUUUCAGGAGCCAUCGAUCGGCCCGUCAGGAGAGGAGCUGCAGGGGGUGGACGCGACUGAUAACUGGGAUUUCCUUUGUCUGAAAAUCACUAAGCACUGGAGCAGUAACACAACUACAGCUGAACAGCAGAAGCAUGAGGGGCUUCAUGGCGUCCAGCCUAUCAGACUAAACAGUGACAGCCUUCUGAGAACUCACUUCAGCUCCACCUUCAUCAAUCAAUCGCUGCUUACAGGCCUUCGGAAACCAAAAUAAACAACUUGCCAACGAGAAACUGGACCGUGUCAUGAAUCUAUAUGGAUCCAGGGGCCAUGAGGGGAAUGAAUGAAACGUGGUGAGUCGCACCAAUUUUGUGCAUGUUAUUUUACAGUUCACACUGAGUGUUGCUGACUUUGUGCCAACACAAACAUAUUUGGUUUCAGGCCUUAAAGGAAGAGUUCAGCCAAAAAUGAAAAUGUGCUGAAAAUAUACUCGCUCUCAGACCAUCCAAGAUUAGGAUGAAUUUGUUUUAUUCGUCAGAUUUGGAGAAAUGUAGCUUUGCAUCAC